GACGAACGCUGGCGGCGUGCUUAACACAUGCAAGUCGAACGGAAAGGCCCUGCUUUUGUGGGGUGCCCGAGUGGCGAACGGGUGAGUAACACGUGAGUAACCUGCCCUUGACUUUGGGAUAACUUUAGGAAACUGGGGCUAUUACCGCAUAUGAGCUCCUGCUGCAUGGUGGGGGUUGGAAAGUUUCGGCGGUUGGGGAUGGACUCGCGGCUUAUCAGCUUGUUGGUGGGGUAGUGGCUUACCAAGGCUUUGACGGGUAGCCGGCCUGAGAGGGUGACCGGCCACAUUGGGACUGAGAUACGGCCCAGACUCCUACGGGAGGCAGCAGUGGGGAAUAUUGCACAAUGGGCGGAAGCCUGAUGCAGCAACGCCGCGUGCGGGAUGACGGCCUUCGGGUUGUAAACCGCUUUCGCCUGUGACGAAGCGUGAGUGACGGUAAUGGGUAAAGAAGCACCGGCUAACUACGUG
This 468-nucleotide ribosomal RNA is filed under the name uncultured bacterium. Its description in RNAcentral is "partial 16S ribosomal RNA". It matches the Rfam family "Bacterial small subunit ribosomal RNA", at positions 28 to 507 of the family's 1533-position model. The record is from RNAcentral.